RNAcentral lists this ribosomal RNA (497 nucleotides) under uncultured bacterium. RNAcentral describes it as "partial 16S ribosomal RNA". It matches the Rfam family "Bacterial small subunit ribosomal RNA", at positions 28 to 507 of the family's 1533-position model. The record is from RNAcentral.
GAUGAACGCUGGCGGCGUGCCUAAUACAUGCAAGUCGAGCGAACAGACGAGGAGCUUGCUCCUCUGACGUUAGCGGCGGACGGGUGAGUAACACGUGGAUAACCUACCUAUAAGACUGGGAUAACUUCGGGAAACCGGAGCUAAUACCGGAUAAUAUAUUGAACCGCAUGGUUCGAUAGUGAAAGACGGUUUUGCUGUCACUUAUAGAUGGAUCCGCGCCGCAUUAGCUAGUUGGUAAGGUAACGGCUUACCAAGGCAACGAUGCGUAGCCGACCUGAGAGGGUGAUCGGCCACACUGGAACUGAGACACGGUCCAGACUCCUACGGGAGGCAGCAGUAGGGAAUCUUCUGCAAUGGGCGAAAGCCUGACGGAGCAACGCCGCGUGAGUGAUGAAGGUCUUCGGAUCGUAAAACUCUGUUAUUAGGGAAGAACAAAUGUGUAAGUAACUAUGCACGUCUUGACGGUACCUAAUCAGAAAGCCACGGCUAACUACGUG